CCUACGGGAGGCAGCAGUGGGGAAUCUUCCGCAAUGGGCGAAAGCCUGACGGAGCAACGCCGCGUGAUCGAAUGAAGGCCUUCGGGUUGUAAAGAUCUGUUGACAGGGACGAAUAAGCAAUGCGAAUGGCUUUGUGUAUGAAGGUACCUGUUUAGAAUGCUCCGGCUAACUACGUGCCAGCAGCCGCGGAAAUACGUAGGGAGCAUGCGUUGUCCGUAAUUACUGGGGGUAAAGGGCGCGUAGGUGGGCGAUUAAGUCAGGUGUGAAAGCUCCGGGCUCAACCUGGAGACUGUAAUUGAAACUGGGUGUCUUGAGUGCAGGUGAGGAAGGUGGAAUUCGUGGUGUAGCGGUGAAAUGCGUGGAUAUUACGAAGAACACCGGUGGCGAAGGCGACUUACUGAACUGUAACUGACGCUGAGGCGCGAAAGCGUGGGUAGCGAACGGGAUUAGAUACCCUUGUAGUC
RNAcentral lists this ribosomal RNA (464 nucleotides) under uncultured bacterium. RNAcentral's name for it is "partial 16S ribosomal RNA". It matches the Rfam family "Bacterial small subunit ribosomal RNA", at positions 338 to 795 of the family's 1533-position model. The record is from RNAcentral.